GGUUCCUUUCCCUCUAGUCAAUUUACAAUAGUACUUCAUGAUUCUUGGGCACGCCUUUCCAAUAAAAGAAAAGAAAAGGA
RNAcentral lists this transfer RNA (80 nucleotides) under Pinus thunbergii (Japanese black pine). RNAcentral's name for it is "tRNA-Leu". RNAcentral also lists the same sequence under 2 other names. Lineage: Eukaryota; Viridiplantae; Streptophyta; Pinopsida; Pinales; Pinaceae. The record is from RNAcentral.